This is a long non-coding RNA of Homo sapiens (human), 2489 nucleotides long. Lineage: Eukaryota; Metazoa; Chordata; Mammalia; Primates; Hominidae. The record is from Ensembl.
GGAGCCCAGCCAGCCAGGGGGACACGGCCUCCUGCCCACAGGCAGAGGCCCGGGGCCAGAUGUCCGCUUUCUCUUUCGCUCCGCAGGAGUGAGAAGCAAGGACCUCACUGCCUUUGUGCGGCCGGGCCCCUCCGGCCAGUCUGCGUGAACGGACUCUCCGGGCCUCGCCCAUGCUCCGGGCGUGUGGCUGUGUUGGGAGGACGGGAGCUCUACUGCUUGGCAGUGGACACACCAAGGCUGCCGACUGGCCCAGUGGGUGGCGAUGCCACUUACAUGUGAUUUCUCAAUCUCCGUCAACUGCCGUGGCUGCCCGGGCUGGGCUGCCCUGUAGGUUUCAGUUCUUCAGGGCAACAGGCUGGGAUCCAGGCAAGGUGCCUGCACUCAGAGGGGUAGGGAGCCAGGGGCACAUGUGCUGGGCGUGGGCUGGGGCUUCUGGCUGGCAGGGGUGUGGGUUUGGGCCUGGUGGGAUUCCCCAUAUUAGGAAGGUGAGCUGAGCUCGGCUGCAGUGGCUGAAGCAAGGAAGUGAUUUGUCAAGCCAUUUAGACACUGUCCCUGUUUUCUUUCAACAAACAGAACUUUUUUUUUUUUUAAGCAGCGAAGACCUUUUGCUCUCUGUUGGGGUGUGAUUGGGGUUUGCAUUUGGGGGCUCUCUUGAGCUUUGCCGCUGUCUUCAAGGAUGGUAUCUAAAGGGAAAGUCUUAAAAUAAAUAACUUUGAAUUUGGAUAGGAAUGUCUAUGCAGUGAGGGACAGGAGGCUUCCGUGUGUUUCACUAGAACGUUCUUGUUUUUGGCCUACGAAUGCUUUUACUUAGGAAGCACGAGACCUGUGCUGCAGACCGUCUGUUGGAGCUGGCCGCGGCAGGACGGCGAUCACCUUCCUGGCAGGCCCCUCCUGGAUUCUGCCCUCUGCUUCUGAAAGCGUUUCCUCCAUCAGCUUUAGCAAAACUGGGCCUGGCAGAUCAUUUGAAGUCAGGAGUUCGAGACCAGCCUGACCAACAUGAUGAAACCCUGUCUCUACUAAAAAUACAAAAAAGUUAGCCGGGCACAGUGGCACGUGCCUGUAGUCUCAGCUACUCAGGAGGCUGAGGCAGGAGAAUCGCUUGAACCCGAGAGGUGGAGGUUGCAGUGAGCCAAGAUUGUGACAUUGCACUCCAGCCUGGACGACAGAGCGAGACUCCGUCUCAAAAAAAAAAAAACCGUGCCUGGGCCUUGGAGGUGCCUGAGUCCAGAAGACAGACAGCGGGAGCUCACUCCUGCCAUGUCGCUCUUGUUUCUUCUCCCCUCUGCAGGGCGGCAGCUGCUUUGCCCUCAAGACUUCUCUUUUCGCCCACUCUAUUCAUAGGGGGAAAUGACAACACAGGCGCUUUCCCUCAAACUCUGUGUAUUCAUACAUCACCAGAGUGUUCAGAGAAGUGGGAUAUUUUGGCUUCAGUGCUGAGGGCGGCCUGCUGUCCGUCCCUGCGGCAGACUGGGCCCUGUCCCACCUUCCCGUCACUCCUCGAUGUCACAUCAGAGUGCUCUCUCCUGGGUGGGAACCCGCGCACGGAGGAAACACUUUACCAGAGUAAACGAGAUUAUAACUUGUUUGCCAGAGAACCUCUCCUGUGGCCAUGCCUGAACCUCUCCUGGGACUGUCCGUGGUCUUCACAUUGGUGCUUGGACACCCGUCCUUCGGGAGGGGAGGAAAAGCGGCCGGUAAAAUGGAGACAGUCGGUGGCGUGUGUUUGCCGAUUGGACUGGCAUUGGUAUAGACAGAUACCAAUCACUGCACAGACAUUUCCAGGGGCCCUUCCCCAGCCAUGUUUAGUGGCACUGACCUCAGGCAGCUGGGCCCCCGGGACAGCAACCAGGGGACUGCCCUGGCCCUGGAUGGCAGCCGGGACCGGCUCACAAGCUUCUGUUUGGAGCAGUUCUGUUGGCAGCCCCCCGCCUCCAGUGGAGAUGUGACACGACUCUUUCUUGCCUGCCAAACGUUCUCUGAUUCUUUGGAUCAUCGAUCCUAACACAGCAAAGGCGGUAUUGUUGCUGUCCUUUCAAGGUUAAUCCAGGAUCAGAAAAGUCUAAUCAUUUCUCUGUGGUUUUUGGAAUUUCCAAAGAGCACCCAGAUUUUAACCCUCAGUCCUCGGGGUUGUCCGGCUGCGGCUGUGCUGCUGUUGAGCAUUAAGCUCAUUCCACUUCACAUGUAAACUUGUUUCUAUGCAUUCACCUCCUGGGAGACUCCACAUUCCUGAGAGAACUGCAUGGUUAUGAACUCUUACUCGUGUGCACUAAAGUGCACGUGCUGUGUGUGUACUGACCCUCUGCCCUGUGGGAGCCACGUGCUGUGGGGAGAACAGACCAGCAGCAGAUGGGACUCCUCCUCCAGGAACCUGCUACCAGCUAGGCGUGGUGGUGCAAGCCUAUACUUCUGGCACUUUGGGAGGCUGUGGCAGGAGGAUCACUUGAGGCCAGGAAUUUGAGGCCAGCCUGGGCAACAUAGUGAGACCACGU